Molecule: ribosomal RNA, 558 nt
Filed under: Staphylococcus pasteuri
Lineage: Bacteria; Bacillati; Bacillota; Bacilli; Caryophanales; Staphylococcaceae
Description: bacterial SSU rRNA
Rfam family: Bacterial small subunit ribosomal RNA
Source: RNAcentral
UCGCAUGGGCGAAGCCUGACGGAGCACGCCGCGUGAGUGAUGAAGGUCUUCGGAUCGUAAAACUCUGUUAUCAGGGAAGAACAAACGUGUAAGUAACUGUGCACGUCUUGACGGUACCUGAUCAGAAAGCCACGGCUAACUACGUGCCAGCAGCCGCGGUAAUACGUAGGUGGCAAGCGUUAUCCGGAAUUAUUGGGCGUAAAGCGCGCGUAGGCGGUUUUUUAAGUCUGAUGUGAAAGCCCACGGCUCAACCGUGGAGGGUCAUUGGAAACUGGAAAACUUGAGUGCAGAAGAGGAAAGUGGAAUUCCAUGUGUAGCGGUGAAAUGCGCAGAGAUAUGGAGGAACACCAGUGGCGAAGGCGACUUUCUGGUCUGUAACUGACGCUGAUGUGCGAAAGCGUGGGGAUCAAACAGGAUUAGAUACCCUGGUAGUCCACGCCGUAAACGAUGAGUGCUAAGUGUUAGGGGGUUUCCGCCCCUUAGUGCUGCAGCUAACGCAUUAAGCACUCCGCCUGGGGAGUACGACCGCAAGGUUGAAACUCAAAUGAAAUUGACGGA